This is a long non-coding RNA of Colias croceus (clouded yellow), 1138 nucleotides long. RefSeq lists it as uncharacterized. The transcript has 3 exons. The record is from RefSeq and is a predicted model, not a curated record. Lineage: Eukaryota; Metazoa; Arthropoda; Insecta; Lepidoptera; Pieridae.
UCGGUAGCGUCAUGCCGAAUAGACGAUAGGAAGUAUGGUGUAUGGCCACCAUUACGGUGCAGUAUGGUGUUCGUUUGAUCUUGGUUUGAUCCAUGCACUGUAAACGUGCUCACGAAGAUGGGGCCAAAUGACCCGAUUUCAGUCAGUCGCUCCGGAAGCGUCUUUGUACCCGGUCGCGUCGUGUCAACUCUCGUUUCGUGUGCACAAGUAAAAACAAUCAAAAAUGCCUUCUUGUGUGAUGAGAUUCUGUACAAACUAUUCGUCAAAGAUGUCUAAAAGUCAAGGGAUCACUUAUCACCUGUUUCCAUUAAACGAUUUGAAACGAGAUAAAUGGGUGAAAAUUGUCCGUCAACAAAGAAGAGAAGAUGAUUGGAUGCCCACUAAAUAUAGCAAAAUAUGCUCUAACCAUUUUAAAAAUAAAGAUAAAGAUACAUAUAUCACAGAAGGGCUACACAGUUUUAAAGAAAGGAGCAGUGCCGAUACUUAAGGAGGAAAGCCGCCUUUCACCUCUAAAUACGUCGCCAUCACGGGGAAGUCCGAACAGCCUCCAAGAAGAACAUCAUGAGGACCCACGAAAAUCAGCACCUAAAUUGCGUGUACGAAAAUUAAUUAUUGAUAAACAAAAUCUUAUCAAUAAAAAUAACAUUUUAAUUAAAAAAAACAAUAGGCUAUUAAAGAAAGUAGAAAAUAUGGGUAACAUUUUAAACAUUUUAAAGAAAAAUAAAUUAAUUUCUGAUCAACAAUUAGCUGAAUUGAAUUUGAAGCCAGAGGCCAUAAGUUUGUUUAGUAGACUAACCUAAUCUUUCGUAUGGAAGUAACUUUUCUUAGCUUUUUUUUGGCUAUGUUUACUGGGGAUAUAUUUUUUCAGUUUCAUUGAAAAAAAACACACUCUUGAAGAUGGUUAUACUGCUGGAAUCGCUGGAUCUCAUAUAACUGUUUAGUUUUAAGUGUAUUUAUUAUAUUAUGUAUACGUUUAUCCACGUCUCUCUCAGAAACUUCAUGUUGACGUAAAAGUAAGCCAAUAAAAAAGAACCUCUCUAUAUAUGUUUUGUGGAAUUAUCACAAUCUGCCCACGUCCCCCUUCCCCCUCAAGUCCCGGGCCCUAAUUCCCAAUCUGGUCUCUAAAAUAGAGUUUAUU